GAAAUUUGAGAGGAGCUGUCCUUAGUACGAGAGGACCGGGAUGGACUGACCUCUGGUGUACCAGUUGUUCCGCCAGGAGCACAGCUGGGUAGCUAAGUCGGGAAUGGAUAAACGCUGAAAGCAUCUAAGCGUGAAGCCAACCUCAAGAUGAGAUUUCCCAUAGCGUAAGCUAGUAAGAUCCCUUGAAGAACACAAGGUUGAUAGGUCGGGGGUGUAAGCAUGGUAACAUGUUCAGCUGACCGAUACUAAUAGAUCGAGGGCUUGACCAAA
This 270-nucleotide ribosomal RNA is filed under the name Clostridium perfringens. RNAcentral's name for it is "partial 23S ribosomal RNA". It matches the Rfam family "Bacterial large subunit ribosomal RNA", at positions 2657 to 2925 of the family's 2925-position model. The record is from RNAcentral. Lineage: Bacteria; Bacillati; Bacillota; Clostridia; Eubacteriales; Clostridiaceae.